Molecule: ribosomal RNA, 254 nt
Filed under: uncultured bacterium
Lineage: Bacteria
Description: partial 16S ribosomal RNA
Rfam family: Bacterial small subunit ribosomal RNA
Source: RNAcentral
UACGUAGGGACCAAGCGUUGUUCGGAUUUACUGGGCGUAAAGGGCGCGUAGGCGGCGAAUCAAGUCAGCUGUGAAAUCUCCACGCUCAACGUGGAGGGGUCAGCUGAUACUGCUGUGACUCGAGUCCGGUAGGGGAGUGUGGAAUUCCCGGUGUAGCGGUGAAAUGCGCAGAUAUCGGGAGGAACACCAGUAGCGAAGGCGGCACUCUGGGCCGGUACUGACGCUGAGGAGCGAAAGCGUGGGGAGCAAACAGG